Molecule: transfer RNA, 73 nt
Filed under: Actinomycetota bacterium
Lineage: Bacteria; Bacillati; Actinomycetota
Description: Actinobacteria bacterium tRNA-Arg
Rfam family: tRNA
About the family: Transfer RNA (tRNA) molecules are approximately 80 nucleotides in length. Their secondary structure includes four short double-helical elements and three loops (D, anti-codon, and T loops).
Source: RNAcentral
GCGCCCGUAGCUCAGGGGAUAGAGCGUCCGCCUCCUAAGCGGUAGGUCGCAGGUUCGAAUCCUGCCGGGCGCA